Molecule: ribosomal RNA, 468 nt
Filed under: uncultured bacterium
Lineage: Bacteria
Description: partial 16S ribosomal RNA
Rfam family: Bacterial small subunit ribosomal RNA
Source: RNAcentral
GAUGAACGCUGGCGGCGUGCUUAACACAUGCAAGUCGAACGGUGAAGGCGGAGCUUGCUCUGCUGGAUCAGUGGCGAACGGGUGAGUAACACGUGAGCAAUCUGCCCCUGACUCUGGGAUAAGCGCUGGAAACGGCGUCUAAUACUGGAUACGAGCUGCGAAGGCAUCUUCAGCAGCUGGAAAGAAUUUCGGUCAGGGAUGAGCUCGCGGCCUAUCAGCUUGUUGGUGAGGUAAUGGCUCACCAAGGCGUCGACGGGUAGCCGGCCUGAGAGGGUGACCGGCCACACUGGGACUGAGACACGGCCCAGACUCCUACGGGAGGCAGCAGUGGGGAAUAUUGCACAAUGGGCGAAAGCCUGAUGCAGCAACGCCGCGUGAGGGACGACGGCCUUCGGGUUGUAAACCUCUUUUAGAAGGGAAGAAGCGAAAGUGACGGUACCUGCAGAAAAAGCGCCGGCUAACUACGUG